This is a long non-coding RNA of Lycium barbarum (goji berry), 1750 nucleotides long. RefSeq lists it as uncharacterized. The record is from RefSeq and is a predicted model, not a curated record. NCBI's taxonomy places the organism in Eukaryota, Viridiplantae, Streptophyta, Magnoliopsida, Solanales, Solanaceae. The transcript has 2 exons.
UUAAGUCCCUUUUUCCAAAUAUAAUACUCCACUGCCUACGCCAUUAUGCAAUAUAUAUGUAUACGUAUGUAGAGGUGGACUUUGGGAGGAAAAUAACAUUUAUUACUCAAUAUUUUGAGAGAAAUUGUAUAACAUUUUCGUUCAUAUUCAAGCAACAAGAAGUUGCUGAAGUUUUUUUUUAUCGUUCUUUUGUAAUUGAGAAAGCAUUCUUGGUCUCUUUCCUAAAAAAAAAAAAAAAACAAAUACAACAUAGCAGCCCCUCGUGUUCUAAGCUAACGUUCCAACAAGAAAAUGGGGGUUUUUCCGACGGAAAGAGCUGCUCCAAGAUCAAGCAUAGUUAUGCUCCUCCGUCGAUUUCAUGAUUAUAAUUUCGGUCCCCUCCGAAUCGUAGCAAUUUCGGGAUUACUUUGUGUUGAAGUUGAAGCUUUCUUCUAGUUGAAGUAUCCUAAGAUUAAAGUUGUUCUUGUGUGAUUGAGGUAAUAUUACAUCUUUUCUAUAUGUUCUUGAGUUAGUUUGGUCAUUAGUCAACUUGUAAGAUAAAGGAAUUGUGGAAGACAAGUUAGGAUACCUACUAGAGCUCUUGUUAGUUUUGUGGGCCGAUUUGGAAUAUGAUCUUGAGUCAUUAAGGCUGGAUUUUAUAAAAUAGGUUGAGGUUGAUGUUGUUGUUAAGUUGUUGUUCUUGAAUUUGGUAGAAGAAAGUGUAUAAAAACAUCGUAUACCAAGCGUAUAUUGGGCUGUUUUGGCUUAUAUCUUUGGAAGUUGAUGUUUUGAGUUUAAAGACGCUUAUAUGAGGUUGUUGUUGAUGUUAUACUUGUUGUGCAGCUCUGGUUGUUGUUAUUGUUGUGAAUAUGUGGAGUUGGAGGAAGUCAAUGUUAUAGGGGAGAUGCUGCCCAAAUUUAUAUAGACAAAUUACUAACGUUGAGAUUCUACUAAGUCUCUUUAUGGUGUUAAUCAUGGACCUAAAUGUAGAUUGAAUUGUAUUGUGGACUGCUUUUGAAAGCAUUGGGGAGACAAGGAGAUUCAGGUAUGUGAAGCUAACCGUUCUUUCUUUUUGGCAUGAUCUAUGUGAGACAAACAGACGACGAAUGUAUAAACUCCAAAGAAACUCCUACUCUUAGAGACACUAGGAUGGUUAAUGUUCUUGAUUUCCAGAAGCUAUUUCAUUGUGUCUUGAUACGUGUCUAUGAUUCCAGAAGUCCUAUUUUGAUAUAAUCCAUAAUGACAUUCGAGGGGUACUUGACAUGACUGUUGUCUUUGAUUCUCAAGUGUUGUUAGUUCAUUCUAAUUAUUCUAUUGAGUCUCAGAUUAUGAUUUAGUUUGCAUAUGGUUGCUCACUACUCUGCUCGUGCAUGCCGUAAUGUAUCUUUCACCGAGUCCCGGGCCAGGUACAAACACUCAGUCCGAUGAUCCUCCAGAUUAGGACUUCUGCUCAGCUGUAUGGAGAACUCCAUUGUCCGGAGCCUAGAUAUUCUGGUACAGAUCUUCUGAUAUAGACUUAUAUAUAUUCAGGGGUACGGCGGGGCCCUGUCCCGUCAUAUUUCACUCUUAUAACUCUUAGAGGUCUGUAAACAUAUGUAGGUUGUAUAUGGGUUAUGCUCAGCCGUGUCGAUAUGAUUUGUUCUGGAUAUUCCCGUAUGUAGUGGCAGCCUUGUCGGCUUGCAUAUUAUGUCGUGCUUUGGUUAGCUGUGACUCCUCAGGAGACAGGUUAUUAUGAUAUAUGGAGUUAUGAAUCUUUCGGUUGCUUUUACAA